This 253-nucleotide ribosomal RNA is filed under the name uncultured bacterium. Its description in RNAcentral is "partial 16S ribosomal RNA". It matches the Rfam family "Bacterial small subunit ribosomal RNA", at positions 524 to 776 of the family's 1533-position model. The record is from RNAcentral.
UACGUAGGUGGCGAGCGUUGUCCGGAUUUAUUGGGCGUAAAGCGCCCGCAGGCGGCUCGAUAAGUUUCAGGUGAAAUCUCCUGGCUCAACUGGGAGGGGUCCUGGAAAACUGUCAGGCUUGAGGCAGGGAGAGGGAUGCGGAAUUCCCGGUGUAGUAGUGAAAUGCGCAGAUAUCAGGAGGAACACCAAUGGCGAAGGCAGCUCGCUGGGACGUGACUGACGCUGAGACGCGAAAGCGUGGGGAGCAAACAGG